RNAcentral lists this ribosomal RNA (503 nucleotides) under uncultured bacterium. RNAcentral describes it as "bacterial SSU rRNA". It matches the Rfam family "Bacterial small subunit ribosomal RNA", at positions 8 to 509 of the family's 1533-position model. The record is from RNAcentral.
AGAGUUUGAUCCUGGCUCAGGAUGAACGCUGGCGGCGUGCCUAACACAUGCAAGUCGAACGGAACUGCAUUUGAAGAUUUCUUCGGAAUGAUCGUUGUAGUUUAGUGGCGGACGGGUGAGUAACGCGUGAGUAACCUGCCCUUGAGAGGGGGAUAACGUUCUGAAAAGGACGCUAAUACCGCAUAACAUUAUCUUAUCGCAUGGUAGGAUAAUCAAAAACUGAGGUGCUCAAGGAUGGACUCGCGUCCGAUUAGAUAGUUGGCGGGGUAACGGCCCCACCAAGUCGACGAUCGGUAGCCGGACUGAGAGGUUGAACGGCCACAUUGGGACUGAGACACGGCCCAGACUCCUACGGGAGGCAGCAGUGGGGGAUAUUGCGCAAUGGGGGAAACCCUGACGCAGCAACGCCGCGUGGAUGAAGACGGUUUUCGGAUUGUAAAGUCCUUUUCUGAGGGACGAAUUCUGACGGUACCUCAGGAAUAAGCUCCGGCUAACUACGUGCC